Molecule: ribosomal RNA, 490 nt
Filed under: uncultured bacterium
Lineage: Bacteria
Description: partial 16S ribosomal RNA
Rfam family: Bacterial small subunit ribosomal RNA
Source: RNAcentral
AGUGAACGCUGGCGGUAGGCCUAACACAUGCAAGUCGAACGGCAGCACAGGAAAGCUUGCUUCUUAGGUGGCGAGUGGCGGACGGGUGAGGAAUACACCGGAAUCUGCCCAGUCGUGGGGGAGAACGCAGGGAAACUCACGCUAAUAUCGCAUACGACCCUCGGGGGAAAGAGGGGGAUCGCAAGACCUCUCGCGCUUGGAUGAGACGAUGUCGGAUUAGCUAGUUAGCGGGGUAAUGGCCCACCAAGGCGACGAUCCGUAGCUGGUCUGAGAGGAUGAUCAGCCACACUGGAACUGAGACACGGUCCAGACUCCUACGGGAGGCAGCAGUGGGGAAUAUUGGACAAUGGGCGCAAGCCUGAUCCAGCCAUACCGCGUGGGUGAAGAAGGCCUUCGGGUUGUAAAGCCCUUUUGUUGGGAAAGAAAUCUUUCAGGCUAAUACCCUGGGAGGAUGACGGUACCCAAAGAAUAAGCACCGGCUAACUUCGUG